Molecule: ribosomal RNA, 425 nt
Filed under: uncultured bacterium
Lineage: Bacteria
Description: partial 16S ribosomal RNA
Rfam family: Bacterial small subunit ribosomal RNA
Source: RNAcentral
GUGGGGAAUCUUGCGCAAUGGGCGAAAGCCUGACGCAGCCAUGCCGCGUGAAUGAUGAAGGUCUUAGGAUUGUAAAAUUCUUUCACCGGGGAAGAUAAUGACGGUACCCGGAGAAGAAGCCCCGGCUAACUUCGUGCCAGCAGCCGCGGUAAUACGAAGGGGGCUAGCGUUGCUCGGAAUUACUGGGCGUAAAGGGCGCGUAGGCGGACAUUUAAGUCAGAGGUGAAAGCCCAGGGCUCAACCUUGGAAUUGCCUUUGAUACUGGAUGUCUUGAGUUCGGGAGAGGUGAGUGGAAUGCCGAGUGUAGAGGUGAAAUUCGUAGAUAUUCGGCGGAACACCAGUGGCGAAGGCGACUCACUGGCCCGAUACUGACGCUGAGGCGCGAAAGCGUGGGGAGCAAACAGGAUUAGAAACCCUUGUAGUCC